This 511-nucleotide ribosomal RNA is filed under the name uncultured bacterium. RNAcentral's name for it is "partial 16S ribosomal RNA". It matches the Rfam family "Bacterial small subunit ribosomal RNA", at positions 28 to 523 of the family's 1533-position model. The record is from RNAcentral.
GACGAACGCUGGCGGCGUGCCUAAUACAUGCAAGUCGAGCGAAUCAAUGGGAGCUUGCUCCCUGAGAUUAGCGGCGGACGGGUGAGUAACACGUGGGUAACCUGCCUGUAAGACUGGGAUAACUUCGGGAAACCGGAGCUAAUACCGGAUACGUUCUUUUCUCGCAUGAGGAGAGAUGGAAAGAUGGUUCUGCUAUCACCUACAGAUGGACCCGCGGCGCAUUAGCUAGUUGGUGAGGUAACGGCUCACCAAGGCGACGAUGCGUAGCCGACCUGAGAGGGUGAUCGGCCACACUGGGACUGAGACACGGCCCAGACUCCUACGGGAGGCAGCAGUAGGGAAUCUUCCGCAAUGGACGAAAGUCUGACGGAGCAACGCCGCGUGAGCGAAGAAGGCCUUCGGGUCGUAAAGCUCUGUUGUUAGGGAAGAACAAGUACGAGAGUAACUGCUCGUACCUUGACGGUACCUAACCAGAAAGCCACGGCUAACUACGUGCCAGCCGCUGCGGUAA